Molecule: non-coding RNA, 24 nt
Filed under: Arabidopsis thaliana (thale cress)
Lineage: Eukaryota; Viridiplantae; Streptophyta; Magnoliopsida; Brassicales; Brassicaceae
Source: RNAcentral
AACAGAAUUCUCAAUUACCGCGGA